AGAAAAUUUCAAGAAUGACAUGGCAGAAUAAUCACCCUUAAAUUUUAUCAAGAAAUAUUCAUGAAAUUAAUGUUAACCAAUAAAAUCUCAGCCUGACCGGAAAUCAUGGGGUGGUGGGUGUUAUGUAUCUUUUUUUAUGAAAGAUUAAUAAAUGAGACUGAAAUCUAAAGGUGAUUAUUGUGCCAUGUCAUUCUUGAAUUUUU
This 203-nucleotide microRNA precursor is filed under the name Medicago truncatula (barrel medic). Its description in RNAcentral is "miR2590b stem-loop (mtr-MIR2590b)". The record is from miRBase by way of RNAcentral. Lineage: Eukaryota; Viridiplantae; Streptophyta; Magnoliopsida; Fabales; Fabaceae.